Molecule: ribosomal RNA, 166 nt
Filed under: Crudia lanceolata
Lineage: Eukaryota; Viridiplantae; Streptophyta; Magnoliopsida; Fabales; Fabaceae
Description: 5.8S ribosomal RNA
Rfam family: 5.8S ribosomal RNA
About the family: 5.8S ribosomal RNA (5.8S rRNA) is a component of the large subunit of the eukaryotic ribosome. It is transcribed by RNA polymerase I as part of the 45S precursor that also contains 18S and 28S rRNA. Functionally, it is thought that 5.8S rRNA may be involved in ribosome translocation.
Source: RNAcentral
AACGACUCUCGGCAACGGAUAUCUCGGCUCUCGCAUCGAUGAAGAACGUAGMGAAAUGCGAUACUUGGUGUGAAUUGCAGAAUCCCGUGAACCAUCGAGUCUUUGAACGCAAGUUGCGCCCGAGGCCAUUAGGCCGAGGGCACGUCUGGCUGGGUGUCACACAACG